Molecule: unclassified non-coding RNA, 215 nt
Filed under: soil metagenome
Description: partial contains 5.8S ribosomal RNA, internal transcribed spacer 2, and large subunit ribosomal RNA
Source: RNAcentral
AACCUAGCACACCUGCGGUGUGUACCUGCGGAAGGAUCAUUAACAAGCUGUGGGAGAUCGAUCAAUUUGAUCUCACACCUGGCCAACCUUGUUAACCUUAAAUAUAUUGCUUUGGUGAGCCCUGCUCACCAAAGUCAAACCCUAAACUCUUGAUUGUUUCUGCUGUCUGAGCAUGCAAGUGCAAAAUUUAGUUAAAAACUUUUAGCAAUGGAUCU